Molecule: long non-coding RNA, 936 nt
Filed under: Mustela putorius furo (domestic ferret)
Lineage: Eukaryota; Metazoa; Chordata; Mammalia; Carnivora; Mustelidae
Description: lncRNA (ENSMPUG00000024419.1)
Source: RNAcentral
AUGUAUAAUGAUCUUGUAACUGAUGCAUCAGAACUGAAACACACUUUUUUUCUUUUUUAAAGAUUUUAUUUGUUUGUCAGAGAGAGAGAGAGAGAGAGAGCGAGCAGCUUGGCAAGGAGCCUGAGGCAGGACUCAAUCGCAGGACCCCGGGAUCACCACUUGAGCUGAAGGCAGAUGCCCAACUGACUGAGCCACCCAGGCACCCCUGAAACAAACUUUUAUCAACACCUGGCAAUACUUUCAGAUAAAUGGUGGGCAUGGUUAUUCACCGGAACCUCACGCCCUCAGAAGAAACUGAAGGGAGAGCAGGAUCCCAUUGGGGCUUCUGUUUGUUGAGUCAGGUUCUGGACGUAGAGGACCAGGUGCCACUGUGGCUAGACUUUGUGACUUCUUAUCUCAUAACGUGUGUUUCUCUCUGAAAAACUCUUAAAGUGGAAGGGGCUUAUAUUCAUCUUUGAAGAGAACAAGAAAGCAAGAACUGAAGAGAAUCCUGUUUUGGAGACAAAAAUCCCAAUAGAUAGGGCCAGCGGUGGCCACCAUUGAGACGAAAGCAUCCUUGGGACCCUCAGCAAAGAAGAAAGGAGAGUAUGGGAGCUGGUUUGCCUCUAAGGUAACAGAAGUAGAAAGUGACCCCCACGCCAUGGCCUGAGGGUUCCUGGUUGUCCCAUGGGGGAGUGGGGCAAGUCUUAUGUCACUUGGUGGUAGCCCCACACAAUACUUGGAAUAUGCCUAUCGAAUGCCCAGCAUUUCUUUCCUUUUUUUUUUUUUUUUAAGAUUUUAUUUAUUUGGCAGAGACAGAGAGAGAUCACAGGUAGGCAGAGAGGAAAGGGGUGAGAAGUAGGCUCCCUGCUGAGCAGAGAGCCCAAUGUGGGGCUUGAUCCAAGGACCCUGAGAUCAUGACCUGAGCUGAAGGCAGAGGCUUAACCCACUGAGCCA